GUAGCAGAACUAGCACUACUGCCAUCAACCUCGUCCCCUCCUCUCCUAUCUAUUAGUAUAUAAAGAAAAGAACAAGGGAGCCACCUCGAUUUCAGGGGAGAUGAGACUUGGACUUAUACCAUCCACACUCCUGGUUCUCAGGCCUUCAGUCUCAGACUGGAACUCACACCACCAGCUUUCCUGGGUCUCCAGUUUGCAGACAGCAGAGCAGUAGAUCAUGGGACUUCUCAGCCUCCAUAACUGAAAAGAGAGAGAAAGUUAUCACCCAAACUGGAUCACGGAGACAUACAUGUGAAAAGGUGCUUCAAGCAGAGGAUUUGCGUAUGGUCCUAAUCCCCCACUGCGUGUACGUGAAGCUAUCUGCCAGGAAUACAGUGAAAAGGAAAUGAGAACACAGUAGCCCCCUGUUGGAAACCCAGCUGUAAUUUCUAGCAUUCAGAUACAUCAUGGGGCACAUCACGACCUUGAACCAUAAACAUAUAUGCAGUAAAAGCCC
Molecule: long non-coding RNA, 496 nt
Filed under: Equus caballus (horse)
Lineage: Eukaryota; Metazoa; Chordata; Mammalia; Perissodactyla; Equidae
Description: lncRNA (ENSECAG00000049610.1)
Source: RNAcentral